RNAcentral lists this ribosomal RNA (274 nucleotides) under uncultured bacterium. RNAcentral's name for it is "partial 16S ribosomal RNA". It matches the Rfam family "Bacterial small subunit ribosomal RNA", at positions 523 to 796 of the family's 1533-position model. The record is from RNAcentral.
AUACGGAGGGUCCAAGCGUUAUCCGGAAUCAUUGGGUUUAAAGGGUUCGCAGGCGGUUCAUUAAGUCAGUGGAGAAAUCUCUCGGCUCAACCGAGAAACUGCCAUUGAUACUGAUGGACUUGAAUAUAGUUGGAGUAGGCGGAAUGUGUAGUGUAGCGGUGAAAUGCUUAGAUAUUACACAGAACACCGAUAGCGAAGGCAGCUUACUAAACUAUUAUUGACGCUCAUGAACGAAAGCGUGGGGGGCGAACAGGAUUAGAAACCCUAGUAGUCC